UACGUAGGGUCCGAGCGUUAAUCGGAAUUACUGGGCGUAAAGCGUGCGCAGGCGGUUUUGUAAGCCAGAUGUGAAAGCCCCGGGCUCAACCUGGGAACUGCAUUUGGGACUGCAAGGCUGGAGUACGGCAGAGGGAGGUGGAAUUCCACGUGUAGCAGUGAAAUGCGUAGAGAUGUGGAGGAACACCGAUGGCGAAGGCAGCCUCCUGGGCCAACACUGACGCUCAUGCACGAAAGCGUGGGGAGCAAACAGG
Molecule: ribosomal RNA, 253 nt
Filed under: uncultured bacterium
Lineage: Bacteria
Description: partial 16S ribosomal RNA
Rfam family: Bacterial small subunit ribosomal RNA
Source: RNAcentral